AUAAGUGUUAGCAUCUGUGUGUGAGAGUGUUCGUUUGCCUGACACUGAAGAAGGGAGACCCUGAAACGUCUGACAGCCUUCUUCUAUCUGUAGCUAAACAUCCUGGUGGACACUGGGAGCAGUAACUUCACUGUGGGUGCAGCGGCUCAGCCUUUUCUAAAAAGAUACUACCACCGCUCACUGUCAGCUCAGGACAUGGCUCAUUGCUGUCCUUGGUCAAAAGAAAGAAAGUAGACUACAUUCCUCACAUGCUUUCAGAGUGCCACUGCUUCAGCCUGCUGUCCACGGGCCAUCGCAGACUGACGGAGGGCGACAAGACACAAAGCAAAGCUAUUCUGGAGAUGCUACAUAUCGAUAAGCUUUCCGCCAUCGUGCAGGGAAAGCCCCAUCCGUACAUGAGGAAGCUGUACCAGCGCCUGGGCUCGCUGCAGGGGCCUGACCUGGAGGGGCAGAGGGAACACUGGUGCAGAGCGUGCGCAGUAGUAAAGCUGGUCCAGGAGGUGCCCCCGCUGGGUGGAUCUGGUUUAACAUCACGGCUGCCUUCCCCUCCGCACUCGCUGCAGAGUUGGUCCUAUUCAGAAAGACUAUCCACCCUCACCCAGUCAACGUGACCGUGACCCUGCACUCCCUCGCCCUGUCCCGGGACGGCUCUCUGCACCACCACAGUCCAGCCCUGGAGGAGAGGCUGCUGAGCCUGGACCGGAGACACCCCUCUGGAUAUGACGUGUUUCUUGUCUCUGCGGCUGUGAGACCGGCGGAGGUGAUAGGUUUCCAGCUGAGGUACAAGGAUGAGAGCGGGAGUCUGGUCCUGCAUGACGCCCUGACACGUAGUCUGUACUGUAUGGAGAGAGGGUCACUGAGAGAGCCCAUACUGGUGCUCUACAAGACUAUCCUACUCAACUGAGGCCUGUGUAUACAAGCUGGACGGGGCAGACCAGUUUUACAGCGCUAUAGUUUUAUGCUGAGCUUAUUAGUUCUUUUGACCUGGUUUUGGGGUAAUAUCUCUGUCAUUUCUGUCCACAUGAAACAAACACUGGUAUGACAAAUUCAACUAAUUUUCUGGCAAAUUUUCUUUAGUUUAGAAAAAAUGGUGGCAAAGUGGUGGUCACAAAGGGCUGUCAGUUAAAAAUACUUAACAAGUUAAGUAUGACAAAUGUUGCCCACAAUGCCUAACUAGAUAAAAAUGAGGUUCAAUAUAUGGGAAUUUUCAUUUUGGAUAUUUUGGUAACACUAUAAUAAAUGAUGAAUUAACACUUAAUUAAUCAUGAACAAUUCAUUAGUUAAGUGUGACUAACACUUAAUAACUACUUAACUACUACAGUUAAUGCCUAAGUCAUAAUGAAUAGUUCUUCACAUACUUCACUUAUUCAUUGUUAAGUAGUUAUGUGUCAGUCACACUUAACUAAUGAAUUGUUCAUGAUUAAUUAAGUGUUAAUUCAUCAUUUCUUAAGGCUAAAUAAGGUGUAGUUAUUAUAAAGUGUUACCGUCUCUGGUCCCACCUGAAAUUUUAAUAUCGAAGUCUGGAAUGUCAUGAAUGCAAGCUACUAUGGUCUUGUUGCUACUUUCAAGGUAACAGCUAAUGUAACAGUGUUACAGGGAGAAUACUUUGCAAUUGUAUUUAGUUACAGAAUACUGAAUACUUACCUUAAAGUGUAUUUUGAAACGUACUCCAUUACUUUGUCCAAUAAGAGUACUUGAUUCUGAAUACUUAGAAUAUUUUCACCUUCAUUUGCAUAAUAUUCAUGCAUAAAAUCGGCAUAUGAUUAAAAACUUGCAGCUACGCUACACCGCCUGUUAUGAACUUGGUUCAAGUGGUGUGAAGCGCCCUCUGGUGGAUAGAGUGUAAAGUCACACUUAUAGAUUGUCGGAGGCCAAACAGUUUUGGAUUUUUGCUGUUGACUGAUUUUAUGUCUUAAUAAUAAAUUGAGAAAUAUCUCAUUGUAAUGUUGCUGACCAAUAGUAGCCUACAGAUGAGCAUUUUCACCCAUUUCUAAUGAGAAAAUGUAGUUUUCCAAUUUGUUAAGUAACCUAUGGAUACUUACCAAAUAGGCCUACUGAAUGUAUGGCUACUUGUAUAUUUAAAUAAAACAUGGCAUACUAAUGAGGGUACCGAUAGAGGUUUGUUUCAGUGUUUUGUGUUUUCAUCUCUACGUUUUGAGGAGUUAAAAGCGCCAACAAACCUUGUCCAAUUUGUUUUUUGUGUUUAGUUGUCAGAUUGUUGGUGCGCAUACCAUGUUAAAAACGAAACUCACUAAAAUAAUAACACAAUAAUAAAAGGAGGGGAAAGCGGAAGUGACUCAUCCUCUCUUUUAUCUGAUUGGCUGUUCUUUCAGUCUUUCAAGUUCUCCUCUGACCAAUCGCUGCCGAGCUUUGGGCGCAGCAGUUGCCUCUUCAUCUGUGGGCGCAAUCUGCUCGAAAUAUCGACUCUUUCUCCUGUUUUCUUUGGGUGGACAUUGCCUCUCACCAUCCGCGGGACUUUGUGUUCGUGUCUUCACCGAUUCUCCGCCGGCUGUCGGCUCAAGGCGGCUCGGUAUCGGGACUGAAAUGCCUCCCCCGCGGCGCUGAACCUGCUCCAUCCUUCACACAAAGCCUGUGAGCAGCAGCAGGCCGUGUGUUUUUCAUCCCUCAGUCCCGG
This is a long non-coding RNA of Neogobius melanostomus (round goby), 2635 nucleotides long. The record is from Ensembl. Lineage: Eukaryota; Metazoa; Chordata; Actinopteri; Gobiiformes; Gobiidae.